GUACAUUUUAAGUUUAUUUUUCCACAAAUUAAUAAUGUGCUGUCAGCCAGUGCACGCCUCUAUUCUUACCAAGUCAUGCGCCAAGACGUAUUCGAUAUUGUCAGAUAGCACGCUAUUGAAGACAGCAACAGCCGUCGCAUUGCUCCCAUCGCAGCGGAUACUUCAUUUUUAAUACGUGUCACUAACCGAAAGGUUCCAAUAUUUGCAAUAUUGAAAUGUCAGAUGUUGUCGUGUUGUUAAUGCAUUCCGAAUUUUGUAUUGUGUUAAAGUUCCUAUACCCUCUAUGCAUGAAGUCGACUAAAAGGCUAUACCAAAUGCAUGCGAAUGCAUGUAACAGUUAGCUGAAAAUCUAAAGCUUCAAAAUCGAAAAUCGUAAAUAAGUGUUUGUUUGGGUGUUUUGCAUAAAGGGUGUCUCCUGGUCGCAUUUGUGUGUGCAAAUAGUUCAAUUGCAAACGAACACGAUUUUGAGAACUCGAGUUUGAGCCGGAGACUCCAACUCAAGGGAAGGACAGCAGACAGCAGCAGGUGCAGCAGGUGUGACUGAAGGGUCUGUGACAAGGAAAGAAGCUCUAAAUAAUAUGAAAUAUUUGAAAUUUGAUAGCGCAUAGCUCAGCAAAUGAUCCGAACUGUUUGAUUUUCAAUGGCGUCGUCUGUUGUUGCCUGUUGACUUUGCAUUUGGAGUGCGGUCAAGCAUGUCUUUAAAUAAAAUUUGUGUGCUAUUGGGGAGUGCAAUCGGAUGACUGACUGAUGCGUAAGCAAAAACAUUUUCGUUCAAGUGAAAUUCAAUUGUUAUCGAAGCAGCAGACGUGGCACAGAUAGCCUUCGACAUUUGCCGGGCUGGAGCUAGCAGGAGUUAUAAACUGUUUUGGGGGUAGCUUAUCAUAAGCAAUAAAUGCUAAUGGCUGAGCUUUGCCUUUGGGGGCUUGCAUGGUCCUUGGGGAAAGCAUCCAUUAGUUGCAGUGGCGACCAUUCCCCUACCCCAAAAAAAUAAAAUAAAGUAAAAUAGACCAGCGAUGUCAACAAUAAUCCAGCAUCCAACUACCCCUCACAGCUGCGGCACAUAAUUCAACCCCUGCGGCUGCGCUCCAACAAAGGCCCAGCCAGAAGGUGGGCGAGCGGUAUGCGAGAUGGUGACAAGGACAUGCACUGAUUACGCAGCAUCACCGACUACUAUCCUGGCAAUGGUAAUAAAAUUCUCACUUCUGGAUAGAUUUUUGCAUUGUCGUUAGAGUAGAUAAUGUGUGUGUGUGUGGGGGACGGCCACGGUGACGGCGACGUCGACGGCCUCGGCUUCAUCUCCAUCUCCAUCUCCGGCUUCGCCUUCAGCCUUUUGCAUUGUUUGUCAGCGUCUGUCUGGCUUCGGAUGCUGCGGAUGUUGUUGUGAGUCAUAUUAAAAAGUAACGAGCAAAAUAUUAUGAAGCCAGACAAAGGCAUUUCCGGCACAGAGACGAACCAGAGCCAAAACCAGAACCAGAACCAAGAGCUACCAAUAUAUUGGAUUCACACGUUGUAAUGUGGGAGAGCACAUAUAUGGGGUAGGGGCGUUGGGGUCUUGUAUAUCGUUGUUCAUUCCCUGUUGUUGUAGUUGUUUGUUGGCUGCCCCUUUUCAUUUGGCCAGCAACAUGAUGUGCUACACAACAGCCCGCCAUUAUAUUAUAUUGUAUUUUUAGACCAGACAAGUCUGCAUUGCUGCAUGUGCCAUGUUCACUGUCUGCCGCUCUGUGUACUGUCUAUCCUGAUGAGCUGUUCAGAUAGCCCCUCGCCCUUUCCGUAUUGUUGUGCCAUUAUUAAUAACCAUAACUCAAAUCUAUUGCCGCUUUACUGCUCAUUGAAUCCUGUUUAUGACCAGAGUUUCGUCAGUUUUCCUCAGUUACUUUUUGAGUUUAUAUUAAAAAGUUUUGAUUUGACCGCCAACCGCUAGAUAAACAAAGCUUGUGUGAAGCAAGUUAGACCUGGGCGUGGCUACAGUAUUUUUGUCUAGUCUGGCGACUCUGUCUUGAAAGCUAUAAAUAUUAAGUGUAUAUUUUUUCUGUCCGAUCAUUUUUUCAUUAUAGCCAGUUCACAGCCGGAAUUCAAUUUUAUUUAAAUGAAACUCAGUUAAUGGGUAUAGAAAUCAAGGUUCACUUAGCGAACCCCAAGGCAGCACUUCGGUUCGAACCGUGAACCGAAUCAGCGAUUCUUUUUUGGAGCUUGCAGCCCUGUUAAUGGGGAGCAUAAAUGCUUUAAAGUUUUACUCAAAAUUAGUUACUAAUUAUGAACAGGAUCCUCUCUUUGGCGCUGAGAGCGAAAUCCUGGCAAAGUUGUUUGUAAACUUUUGGAAAAGCUGCUUGAAGGCCACUUUGAGUUGCUUUGGUUCAGUUAGUAAACUGUUGGCAUUUGGCUUAUCAUUCAAAGCUUCAGCUUUGAUAUGCGGCAAACGGGAACUGGCCUUUGCGCUAAGUUUUAAUUGUGCUCAUAUCUCAAGACCCGUUCAAGGCCCCUUUCCUGAAUGUGGAGCAGAGCCAAAGUUUUUGCCUGGCCAUUUGUGUGUGGCUCAAACUUUUUCGGGGGCUUACACACACAUACACACGCACACACACACAGUCGCAAAUUGCUCAACAAUCCAUGUUGCCAUUUUACAACACUUGAAAUUUCUUUGGACAUUUGCUUUUGGCUUAGACCCGGCAUCAUGUUGACUUUUACUUUAGCAAAUGGCAGCCGAGGCAGGGCCCCGCUCGACGGCGGGGCAGUGCAGUCCGGUUCGUAUAAUUUCAAUGUGGACUGUCGUAAAUAGCAUAAGAAGCAGAAGAAGAAGAAGAGCUGCCGGCGUUGAGAACGAUGAGUAUUUUCUUAAUUUUCUUGCGCUUCCUGCACAGCAAAGUUUUGCAAGCAAAGUGCGAGAGAGUUUUCUAGCUUUUCUAGCUGCAGCAGCUUUUCCGUUUGUCACGACAGACAAGACCCAACAUUAAAGUAUUAUGCAAGCGUAUUAAUGCACUCAACGGAACAGUGGCAGAGCAGCAGAAUCAGCAGAGCCAACAGGGCAGGGGCAGCAGGGGGAGAAAUAGUGUCCAGCUAGCUGGCAAUGUUGAUAAGCUGCAAGUCAAGUCUGGACUUUGAAUCGGACGCCGACUCGGACUUUUGAGCACUCACAGCGUGUGUCACACGGCCAAAGAAAAACAGUUGGCAAGAUGUGCAAAAGUUUUUCUUAAGCAGGAAAUAAUAUCUGAGGCGAGAAGCGUUGGCAAAUGCCACCUGCGACUGCAUAGGCUGCUAGAGUUUGAAAUUUUCCCCAACAUUUAUUGGUUAGCCAUCCAGCUGCAUUUAAUUUAAUUAAUCGAAGGCAAAGCCAACGGUAUUGAAGCCAAUUCCAAUUCCCUUGAGCGUCUAGUUUAGUCUGUCUGAGUCUGUCUGUUCAUGCUUUGUUGUCCUGUCAGCUGUCAAAUUGAAUUCUAGCACAUUAUGCUCAAUGGCACAGAACAGUCCCUCAGCAUUUAAUAUAUAUAUUUAUAUAUACACACCAUAUAAACACUCUCGUGUACUAUCAGCCGCACGCCGACUUCGAUUCCUUGGUGUAUUUCGAUUUGACACCAUAACUGAUGAUGCUCAGGCAAAAGGCGACGGGCAAGGCCUCUUUCUCUUUCUCUCUCUUUCUGUUUCUGCAUUAAACGUUCGCACAUUAACAUGAUGUAUGAUCCGGGUCCAGAGUUAAGCCCACCCCAGCCAUUAGCAACAGAAAUGGCCACUUAAUGGCAGUCGAGCUGCAAGUCGGGGAAGCGGCUGCCACUCUUAAAGCGAGUAUGUUUAAGUUUUCGUGGGCAAACGCGAGUUCCAACCAGUUGCCACCUCUCACCUGGCGCGUAAUCAAGUCAUGCUCAAACAAUUGCAGCUACGCCUCCACCAAAACAAACUACCACCCACCCACACAAAGACACCCACAGACACUUCACCCCAUACAAACACACACAAUGAAAACACAUUGAGCAAACACUUUAGCGCACGAUAUUCAUACACAAUUUACACAAUCCUACAAACGUGCUUGUGAGCUGUUUCCACUGUGCCACAUUUGGUGGCAAAUGUUACAUUAGGCUAAAGAACUGUUUAAUCGAAUGUUAAUUUUCAAUAAAUUUUGUAAUACUGUUUUUGAAA
Long non-coding RNA from Drosophila montana, 4125 nucleotides. RefSeq lists it as uncharacterized. NCBI's taxonomy places the organism in Eukaryota, Metazoa, Arthropoda, Insecta, Diptera, Drosophilidae. The transcript has 2 exons. The record is from RefSeq and is a predicted model, not a curated record.